CACGUAGGGGGCAAGCGUUGUCCGGAUUCAUUGGGCGUAAAGAGCUCGUAGGCGGUUCGAUAAGUCGGGUGUGAAACCUCCAGGCUCAACCUGGAGACGCCACCCGAUACUGUCGUGACUAGAGUCCAGUAGGGGAGCGUGGAAUUCCUGGUGUAGCGGUGAAAUGCGCAGAUAUCAGGAGGAACACCAGCGGCGAAGGCGGCGCUCUGGCUGGAACUGACGCUGAGGAGCGAAAGCGUGGGGAGCGAAC
This 250-nucleotide ribosomal RNA is filed under the name uncultured bacterium. RNAcentral describes it as "partial 16S ribosomal RNA". It matches the Rfam family "Bacterial small subunit ribosomal RNA", at positions 524 to 773 of the family's 1533-position model. The record is from RNAcentral.